AUUAAAAUACAUGGCCACCACAGAAGUGAGCUAUAACCCAGGAGGAAUGCAGGCCCGAAUUAGGAAACCUUUGGACAAAACCUUCAGGCUGAAAUGCGCAUUCAUCACGGGGCGCAGAUUCAUCCCAGAGAAAAAUGGCAAAGAUGCUACCAUCCGGACUGUACUACCCAUUUCCCCAAAAGCAGAAACUACUGAAUAGAUUGGUAUAAAUUUGGCAAUUUAAGGAAUUCCACUAUUCCCAAUCUGCAAAACUGCUUGCUUA
Suricata suricatta (meerkat) is the source of this 262-nucleotide long non-coding RNA. RefSeq lists it as uncharacterized. The record is from RefSeq and is a predicted model, not a curated record. NCBI's taxonomy places the organism in Eukaryota, Metazoa, Chordata, Mammalia, Carnivora, Herpestidae. The transcript has 3 exons.